CAAUCAUUUAUAUACAACAAAAUAGAAAAAUUCAAUGGUUUAAGUUGACGUGUUUAUCAACAACUGAAUCAACUUCUCAAUUUUCGCGAAUAAAACUAGAGCUGAGGAACUAACUUCUUGACUUUUGUUAUAGCAAAUAAGUUAUGCAAGGUGUUGGGACAAACUAUAGUGGUGGUUCACAUUGUGAAUGGUGCGGAAAGCCACUAAAGUUGGAGGUUUAAGUUGUAUAAAGAAGUUAGGAGAGUGUCGUGGCAUGGUAAUUGUAUUAUAAGUAGUUGAGCUCUUCUAUGUGUCUUCCUUGGUGCUGGAGGGAGGUUAGCUUGGUCUCAAUUAUUAAGCACUUUACUUCAAAGGUACAAAUGAAAAAUGUUAAAUAUGAGGAGGUAACAGGUUAAUGGGUGCUAGUAGGUGCUUUUUCCCCUAUAUCAUCCAGGGAUUGUAAAAGACCAACUAUGUGACAUGGCAUUCGGCGGACUAAGCUCUUGGCAAGGUCGACCUUCGUCGAAUUAUAUCUUCAUCUUCAUGCGUUGGAUGAGAAUGCUUUGGUGGCUAGGGAAGAACGAUCGUGUUCCUCUACCAUUGCAGGAAUGAUAAUAAUGUUGAAACUCCAUAUGUCUUAAACAUCCUCAUUACAAAUACAAGUUCUUAGUUACAUCAGCGACAUAUCGGAUAAGCUAUGUUCUGGCUAAUGGAAGAUGCUUCCUUUACACCUAUUUGAAGCGAGUUUUCACUUACCCCUUCAUCCUUGGUUUGUUGAGAUGCUAUAGUUGUUCUACAUUUCUUCUGAACAAUUAUCAAAGAACUCUUGGCACUUAUUAGUAUUGUA
Gossypium arboreum is the source of this 826-nucleotide long non-coding RNA. RefSeq lists it as uncharacterized. The transcript has 2 exons. The record is from RefSeq and is a predicted model, not a curated record. NCBI's taxonomy places the organism in Eukaryota, Viridiplantae, Streptophyta, Magnoliopsida, Malvales, Malvaceae.